Molecule: ribosomal RNA, 300 nt
Filed under: uncultured Pelagicoccus sp.
Lineage: Bacteria; Pseudomonadati; Verrucomicrobiota; Opitutia; Puniceicoccales; Pelagicoccaceae
Description: bacterial SSU rRNA
Rfam family: Bacterial small subunit ribosomal RNA (bases 52-300)
Source: RNAcentral
GGUACGGAGUGGCGAGCAGCUGGAGUGAUACGAAGGGUGACAGGGGUGAUCGGAGUUACAUGGCGUAAAGUGCGCGUAGGUGGGUUAGUAAGUGGGAAGUGAAAUCCCCGGGCUUAACCUGGGAACUGCGUUCAAAACUGCUGAGCUAGAGUACGGGAGGGGUGGGUGGAAUUUCCUGUGUAGCGGUGAAAUGCGUAGAUAUAGGAAGGAACACCAGUGGCGAAGGCGACCACCUGGACUGAUACUGACACUGAGGUGCGAAAGCGUGGGGAGCAAACAGGAUUAGAUACCCGUGUAGUC